Molecule: non-coding RNA, 71 nt
Filed under: unclassified sequences
Description: narK RNA
Rfam family: narK RNA
Source: RNAcentral
GGCCUGUCCUUUGCAAUUGCCAGCUGACAGGCAGUCAACGCCGAUUGCCAUCUUCACGACAAAGGCGCCGU